This is a long non-coding RNA of Stomoxys calcitrans (stable fly), 462 nucleotides long. RefSeq lists it as uncharacterized. The transcript is spliced from 2 exons. The record is from RefSeq and is a predicted model, not a curated record. Lineage: Eukaryota; Metazoa; Arthropoda; Insecta; Diptera; Muscidae.
UAUUAAUCUUGUUUAUUUUUUUGUACUAUAAAGUUUAAUGCAUUAUUUAUUGAGGAAGUAUGGACACAUCCAACAACUUGCGCCCUAGGAAGAUGUUAAAGAGGUGGAGUUUAUGAUCGUUUGCCCCAUAGAAGAUGCGAGUGGUAACAAGCUAAGAGCAAAUGGAUGUUCGACCUUGAGAUCUCUGUUGCCAUAGCCGAUGGCCCCGCCAUUAUAACUCUCAGCCGCUUGGGUCUUCGAGUGCCAAGUUUGCAAUAUUGUGCGCUUGAGUUGCGUGGCUUUAACAAAUUGCUCAUCCCAACAAUCAGCCAAAUUUAGUCAAAUACAUGCUACAAUUAAGGUAGCGUCAUUAGCACAACAACAAAAAUCUACCCCCAACGAAACUACCUUACAAAUGCCGUAAAUUAAAAUGUCAAAGUGGUUUUAGAAAUAAACAUUGUUUUACAACCUAUCGUCUUCAAA